CCACAGGGACCCAUACAAGUGGGCUUGGAAACCAUGGUGCACCAACAACAGGAACCCAUACAAGUGGAUUUGGAACCCGUGGUGCACCAACCACCGGAGCCUUUACACCAACCACAGGGACCCAUACAAGUGGGCUUGGAAACCAUGGUGCACCAACAACAGGAACCCAUACAAGUGGAUUUGGAACCUAUGGUGCAGGGGCUUAUGGUGGAGGUGCAACCACCGGGGAGCUUCGGCGCUCUGGAAGCUCAAGCUCUAGCUCGUCGGAGGAUGAUGGGCAAGGAGGGAGGAGAAAGAAGAAGGGACUGAAGGAUAAAAUAAAAGAGAAGCUACCAGUUGGUGGUGGUAAAGAGCAUUCACGGUCACAGACAACAGGAACUACUACUUCUACUACAACAACUGCUGCGACCCACUACCCUGAGGCGCAUGAGAAGAAGGGCAUAUUGGACAAGAUCAAAGACAAGUUGCCUGGCCACCACCAUUGAUCUCUCUACUCUCUUCAUUUUAUGUGCUUUAUGUUUCUCCCUUUGUUGUUGUCUAGUUUCAGUGUGUUUGUCAUUUGUAUUAUCUUAAGCUACAAAUGAUAUUAAUAAUUACUUCCACUUUUGUU
Molecule: long non-coding RNA, 610 nt
Filed under: Lupinus mutabilis
Lineage: Eukaryota; Viridiplantae; Streptophyta; Magnoliopsida; Fabales; Fabaceae
Description: partial ncRNA
Source: RNAcentral